RNAcentral lists this non-coding RNA (180 nucleotides) under Staphylococcus aureus. It matches the Rfam family "S. aureus tsr25 small RNA". Lineage: Bacteria; Bacillati; Bacillota; Bacilli; Caryophanales; Staphylococcaceae. The record is from RNAcentral.
UAAUAGUAGUUGAAAAUGAUUAUCAAUACCACAUAGAAUAUCCCCCCACAACGUUUCGUUCUUGUUGGAUUGGUCAUUUUCAAAUAUUCCCCUUUUAUAUGCCCGUAAAAGACAAUAUACGUUAUAACAACGUUUUAUAAAAGCAGUAAACCCUUACGACACUUUAGGUUUACUGCUUUU